UUCAUGAACGUGUAUUUCCAGGUCCGGUCCAGUCAGCUGGAUCGGUCCAUUAAGGGUCUGAAGGAGCAUUUCCGUAAGAACAGCGCCACCUCUGCCAUCCACUCGCCCGCCGUACAGACCAAACGCAAGGAGACGCCCACCAAGAAGCCUCCCAAAAGACCAGUCUACAUCCCAGGUAAAGUCACAGCUGUGUUUGUGACGUGUCCAUCGCUUGUUUCUGUUUGCAGAGCCAGUUAUUAUCCCAUUAUACACACACACACACACACACACAUACACACACACACAUACGCACAUAUACAUGACAGAAUAGGUUAUGAAAGGCUUAUACACAUGCAAACCAAAGUAAAAUUUGCUGACAAAAUAAAACUAUUCACACAGAGCAUGAGAUAAAUGUUUAUUUU
Molecule: long non-coding RNA, 401 nt
Organism: Sinocyclocheilus rhinocerous
Lineage: Eukaryota; Metazoa; Chordata; Actinopteri; Cypriniformes; Cyprinidae
Exons: 2
Source: RefSeq, a predicted model, not a curated record